This 363-nucleotide unclassified non-coding RNA is filed under the name uncultured Gammaproteobacteria bacterium. RNAcentral describes it as "contains 16S-23S intergenic spacer region". The record is from RNAcentral. Lineage: Bacteria; Pseudomonadati; Pseudomonadota; Gammaproteobacteria.
UCCGGGUUUCGCCCGGCAGUCUCCCUAGAACAUUCAGCUAAGGACAAGGGUUGCGCUCGUUGCGGGACUUAACCCAACAUCUCACGACACGAGCUGACGACAGCCAUGCAGCACCUGUGUUCCGGUUCUCUUUCGAGCACUCCCAACUUUCAUCAGGAUUCCGGACAUGUCAAGGGUAGGUAAGGUUUUUCGCGUUGCAUCGAAUUAAUCCACAUCAUCCACCGCUUGUGUGGGUCCCCGUCAAUUCCUUUGAGUUUUAACCUUGCGGCCGUACUCCCCAGGCGGUCAACUUCACGCGUUAGCUACGGUACUCAGAAAUCGCUUCCCGAACACCCAGUUGACAUAGUUUAGGGCGUGGACUAC